CAUGCAGUCGACGGCAGCAUAGGAGCUUGCUCCUGAUGGCGAGUGGCGAACGGGUGAGUAAUAUAUCGGAACGUGCCCUAGAGUGGGGGAUAACUAGUCGAAAGACUAGCUAAUACCGCAUACGAUCUACGGAUGAAAGUGGGGGAUCGCAAGACCUCAUGCUCCUGGAGCGGCCGAUAUCUGAUUAGCUAGUUGGUGGGGUAAAAGCCUACCAAGGCAACGAUCAGUAGCUGGUCUGAGAGGACGACCAGCCACACUGGGACUGAGACACGGCCCAGACUCCUACGGGAGGCAGCAGUGGGGAAUUUUGGACAAUGGGGGCAACCCUGAUCCAGCAAUGCCGCGUGAGUGAAGAAGGCCUUCGGGUUGUAAAGCUCUUUUGUCAGGGAAGAAACGGUAGUAGCGAAUAACUAUUACUAAUGACGGUACCUGAAGAAUAAGCACCGGCUAACUACGUGCCAGCAGCCGCGGUAAUACGUAGGGUGCAAGCGUUAAUCGGAAUUACUGGGCGUAAAGCGUGCGCAGGCGGUUGUGUAAGUCAGAUGUGAAA
RNAcentral lists this ribosomal RNA (550 nucleotides) under Herbaspirillum huttiense subsp. huttiense. RNAcentral describes it as "bacterial SSU rRNA". It matches the Rfam family "Bacterial small subunit ribosomal RNA", at positions 54 to 599 of the family's 1533-position model. The record is from RNAcentral. Lineage: Bacteria; Pseudomonadati; Pseudomonadota; Betaproteobacteria; Burkholderiales; Oxalobacteraceae.